CUAAAACAUUUAAAUAUUUUUCUGGCAGGAGGUGAAAUCAAGGUUACUUUGGUUUAGGACUUUGAUAUAACGUUUAUAAGUAGUUUAGUCAGUGAGACUGGUAAGAACUAACACUGGGAAUGGGGUGUAUUUAGUACUAAAUCUGACUCAACGCCCUAUGCAUUAAAAACCUUAACCUGUGCUCAAAGUUAAAUUACUAUUUGCCUGAGAAUCGGCCACUGAGAGUUGAGUCCCAAAUUUUGUCCUGUAUAUUUUUUGCUGAAACUUUGAUAACCACUAACUCAUCAUAUGAACAUUAGGUAUUUUUUUACUCGUACACCAGUCUCGAGAUGGCUUUACUUACCCUUCUCAUCUGAUAGAGCUUUUCAUCCUGAGCAAUUUGAACCCCAUAUAUACCCAUCGCAAAUUAUUUAUCAUGUUGACAGUGAUUUUUAAAGAUUUACCUAUUUCGGGCAAACGCCCAUUGAGCAGCCGCAACAUACCCUCAGGUGUAUUGUCUGGGUGGUAACUGACAGUGAUUUAUUAAAGAUUUAUCUACUUGGGGCAAUGUAGGUUACUAUCGAGUGGCUAGGUUACGAUCGAGUGGCUAGUUUACUAUUGAGUGGCUAGGUUACUAUCGAGUGGCUAGGUUACUAUCGAGUGGCUAGGUUACUAUUGAGUGGCUAGGUUACUAUCGAGUGGCUAGGUUACUAUUGAGUGGCUAGGUUACUAUUGAGUGGCUAGGUUACUAUCGAGUGGCUAGGUUACUAUUGAGUGGCUAGGUUACUAUUGAGUGGCUAGGUUACUAUCGAGUGGCUAGGUUACUAUCGAGUGGCUAGGUUACUAUUGAGUGGCUAGGUUACUAUCGAGUGGCUAGGUUACUAUCGAGUGGCUAGGUUACUAUCGAGUGGCUAGGUUACUAUCGAGUGGCUAGGUUACUAUUGAGUGGCUAGGUUACUAUCGAGUGGCUAGGUUACUAUCGAGUGGCUAGGUUACUAUCGAGUGGCUAGGUUACUAUUGAGUGGCUAGGUUACUAUUGAGUGGCUAGGUUACUAUUGAGUGGCUAGGUUACUAUCGAGUGGCUAGGUUACUAUUGAGUGGCUAGGUUACUAUCGAGUGGCUAGGUUACUAUUGAGUGGCUAGGUUACUAUCGAGUGGCUAGGUUACUAUCGAGUGGCUAGGUUACUAUCGAGUGGCUAGUUUACUAUUGAGUGGCUAGGUUACUAUCGAGUGGCUAGGUUACUAUCGAGUGGCUAGGUUACUAUCGAGUGGCUAGGUUACUAUCGAGUGGCUAGGUUACUAUCGAGUGGCUAGGUUACUAUUGAGUGGCUAGGUUACUAUUGAGUGGCUAGGUUACUAUCGAGUGGCUAGGUUACUAUCGAGUGGCUAGGUUACUAUCGAGUGGCUAGGUUACUAUCGAGUGGCUAGGUUACUAUCGAGUGGCUAGGUUACUAUCGAGUGGCUAGGUUACUAUCGAGUGGCUAGGUUACUAUCGAGUGGCUAGGUUACUAUCGAGUGGCUAGGUUACUAUCGAGUGGCUAGGUUACUAUCGAGUGGCUAGGUUACUAUCGAGUGGCUAGGUUACUAUCGAGUGGCUAGGUUACUAUCGAGUGGCUAGGUUACUAUCGAGUGGCUAGGUUACUAUUGAGUGGCUAGGUUACUAUCGAGUGGCUAGGUUACUAUCGAGUGGCUAGGUUACUAUCGAGUGGCUAGGUUACUAUCGAGUGGCUAGGUUACUAUCGAGUGGCUAGGUUACUAUCGAGUGGCUAGGUUACUAUCGAGUGGCUAGGUUACUAUCGAGUGGCUAGGUUACGAUCCAAGGGCUUAAUGAUCUUUAGUUUCGUUUCCAGUAGGAAAUUCCUAUGGCUGCGUGUACUGUGAGUGUGUGCCGCUGCUGCUUCUCAUUUGUGAGGACGAAACUAUUUUUUCCUGGUAGAUUUCUGUCUAUUUAAGGGUUUUUAGUGAUUAGGCUAUGAAGUGUAGACUAACUCAACAAGAUUACCACUAGGACAACAACGUACAACAAUUAAUUACAAUUAAUUACCAUUGUUAUUCAUCCAGGUCUCACAAAAUUACACGCAGUAUUGUUGAACGUGGAAUUGGACAACUCAAACGCCGAUUUCAUGUUUUGCAUGGUGAGGUACGAUUGAGGCCCCCCCUCAAGGUGUGCAAAAUCAUUCAUGUGUGUGGAAUGCUGCACAAUAUUUGCAAGGAUAGGAAUCUUCCUCUUCCUCUGGAUGACGAGCAACCAAUGGGUGCAGAGGCACAAGUCCCAGUGCCAUUAAAUGAUGCUGCAGAAGAACCUGCCAAUGCGCCCGGUGGUCACCGUAA
Long non-coding RNA from Eriocheir sinensis (Chinese mitten crab), 2310 nucleotides. RefSeq lists it as uncharacterized. The transcript is spliced from 3 exons. The record is from RefSeq and is a predicted model, not a curated record. Lineage: Eukaryota; Metazoa; Arthropoda; Malacostraca; Decapoda; Varunidae.